UAGCUUUAAGAUUUUUCAUUUAAAGUUUUACCUGCCCGGUGGAAUUUCUUAACGGCCGCAGUACUUUGACUGUGCUAAGGUAGCAUAAUAAAUUGGCUUUUAAUUAAAGUCGGGUAUGAAAGGGAAUUUGGAAAAUAACUGUCUCAAGUAUAUUUUAUUUUAAUUUAAUUAAUGAGUGAAAAUUCUCAUAUUUUAUUUCAUUAGACGAGAAGACCCUAAGAGUUAUAAUUAAAAUGAAUUUAUUUCAUAUAUCAUUUUUGUUGGGGCAACAAAGACUGGAUAGAACCGUCAAAAAGUAAUUUUACAUAACCAAUAAUAUUUAAAAAGAAAUAAACUACCUUAGGGAUAACAGCAUAAUUAAUUUUUAGAUUGUGACCUCGAUGUUGGAUUAAGGACUUAGUUUACUAGCCGUAAACUAAGAUAGUUCUGUUCGAACUGUAGUACCUU
RNAcentral lists this ribosomal RNA (447 nucleotides) under Vertigo pusilla. RNAcentral describes it as "partial 16S ribosomal RNA". The record is from RNAcentral. Lineage: Eukaryota; Metazoa; Mollusca; Gastropoda; Stylommatophora; Vertiginidae.